This 645-nucleotide ribosomal RNA is filed under the name uncultured bacterium. RNAcentral's name for it is "bacterial SSU rRNA". It matches the Rfam family "Bacterial small subunit ribosomal RNA", at positions 55 to 749 of the family's 1533-position model. The record is from RNAcentral.
AUGCAGUCGAGCGCCCCGCAAGGGGAGCGGCGGACGGGUGAGUAACGCGUGGGAUCGUGCCUCUUGCUACGGAAUAGCCUCGGGAAACUGGGAGUAAUACCGUAUAAGCCCUACGGGGGAAAGAUUUAUCGGCAAGAGAUCGGCCCGCGUUGGAUUAGGUAGUUGGUGGGGUAAUGGCCUACCAAGCCGACGAUCCAUAGCUGGUUUGAGAGGAUGAUCAGCCACACUGGGACUGAGACACGGCCCAGACUCCUACGGGAGGCAGCAGUGGGGAAUCUUAGACAAUGGGCGCAAGCCUGAUCUAGCCAUGCCGCGUGAGCGAUGAAGGCCUUAGGGUUGUAAAGCUCUUUCGUGGGGGAAGAUAAUGACUGUACCCCAAGAAGAAGCCCCGGCUAACUCCGUGCCAGCAGCCGCGGUAAUACGGAGGGGGCUAGCGUUGUUCGGAAUUACUGGGCGUAAAGCGCACGUAGGCGGACUGGAAAGUCAGAGGUGAAAUCCCAGGGCUCAACCUUGGAACUGCCUUUGAAACUCCCAGUCUUGAGGUCGAGAGAGGUGAGUGGAAUUCCGAGUGUAGAGGUGAAAUUCGUAGAUAUUCGGAGGAACACCAGUGGCGAAGGCGGCUCACUGGCUCGAUACUGACGCUGA